GCGGAUGUGGCUCAGCUGGUAGAGCAUCACCUUGCCAAGGUGAGGGUCGCGGGUUCGAAUCCCGUCAUCCGCUC
Molecule: transfer RNA, 74 nt
Filed under: Brevibacterium antiquum
Lineage: Bacteria; Bacillati; Actinomycetota; Actinomycetes; Micrococcales; Brevibacteriaceae
Also listed under: 4 other names
Description: tRNA-Gly
Rfam family: tRNA
About the family: Transfer RNA (tRNA) molecules are approximately 80 nucleotides in length. Their secondary structure includes four short double-helical elements and three loops (D, anti-codon, and T loops).
Source: RNAcentral